GUUGUAUGGUUAAGUGACUAAGCGUACACGGUGGAUGCCUAGGCAGUCAGAGGCGAUGAAGGACGUACUAACUUGCGAUAAGCGCAGAUAAGGCAGUAAGAGCCGUUUGAGUCUGCGAUUUCCGAAUGGGGAAACCCAACUGCACAAGCAGUUACUGUUAACUGAAUACAUAGGUUAACAGAGCAAACCGGGGGAACUGAAACAUCUAAGUACCCCGAGGAGAAGAAAUCAACCGAGAUUCCGGUAGUAGCGGCGAGCGAACCUGGAUUAGCCCUUAAGCACUCGUUGAAGUAGGUGAACAAGCUGGAAAGCUUGGCGAUACAGGGUGAUAGCCCCGUAACCGACGCUUCAUCGAGCGUGAAAUCGAGUAGGGCGGGACACGUGAUAUCCUGUCUGAAUAUGGGGGGACCAUCCUCCAAGGCUAAAUACUCCUGACUGACCGAUAGUGAACCAGUACCGUGAGGGAAAGGCGAAAAGAACCCCUGUGAGGGGAGUGAAAUAGAACCUGAAACCGUGUACGUACAAGCAGUAGGAGCACCUUCGUGGUGUGACUGCGUACCUUUUGUAUAAUGGGUCAGCGACUUAUAUUCAGUGGCAAGGUUAACCGUAUAGGGGAGCCGUAGCGAAAGCGAGUCUUAACUGGGCGCUCAGUCUCUGGAUAUAGACCCGAAACCGGGUGAUCUAGCCAUGGGCAGGUUGAAGGUUGAGUAACAUCAACUGGAGGACCGAACCGACUAAUGUUGAAAAAUUAGCGGAUGACUUGUGGCUAGGGGUGAAAGGCCAAUCAAACUCGGAGAUAGCUGGUUCUCCCCGAAAGCUAUUUAGGUAGCGCCUCGGACGAAUACUACUGGGGGUAGAGCACUGUUAAGGCUAGGGGGUCAUCCCGACUUACCAACCCUUUGCAAACUCCGAAUACCAGUAAGUACUAUCCGGGAGACACACGGCGGGUGCUAACGUCCGUCGUGGAGAGGGAAACAACCCAGACCGCCAGCUAAGGUCCCAAAGUAUUGCUAAGUGGGAAACGAUGUGGGAAGGCUCAGACAGCUAGGAUGUUGGCUUAGAAGCAGCCAUCAUUUAAAGAAAGCGUAAUAGCUCACUAGUCGAGUCGGCCUGCGCGGAAGAUGUAACGGGGCUAAGCAAUACACCGAAGCUGCGGCAAUGUCUUUUAGACAUUGGGUAGGGGAGCGUUCUGUAAGCCGUUGAAGGUGGUCUGUAAGGGCUGCUGGAGGUAUCAGAAGUGCGAAUGCUGACAUGAGUAACGACAAAGGGGGUGAAAAACCUCCUCGCCGGAAGACCAAGGGUUCCUGUCCAACGUUAAUCGGGGCAGGGUGAGUCGACCCCUAAGGUGAGGCCGAAAGGCGUAAUCGAUGGGAAACGGGUUAAUAUUCCCGUACUUCUGACUAUUGCGAUGGGGGGACGGAGAAGGCUAGGUGGGCCAGGCGACGGUUGUCCUGGUUCAAGUGCGUAGGCUUAAGAGUUAGGUAAAUCCGGCUCUUUCUAAGGCUGAGACACGACGUCGAGCUGCUACGGCAGUGAAGUCAUUGAUGCCAUGCUUCCAGGAAAAGCCUCUAAGCUUCAGAUAGUCAGGAAUCGUACCCCAAACCGACACAGGUGGUCGGGUAGAGAAUACCAAGGCGCUUGAGAGAACUCGGGUGAAGGAACUAGGCAAAAUGGUACCGUAACUUCGGGAGAAGGUACGCUCUUGAUGGUGAAGUCCCUUGCGGAUGGAGCUGACGAGAGUCGCAGAUACCAGGUGGCUGCAACUGUUUAUUAAAAACACAGCACUGUGCAAAAUCGCAAGAUGACGUAUACGGUGUGACGCCUGCCCGGUGCCGGAAGGUUAAUUGAUGGGGUUAGCGCAAGCGAAGCUCUUGAUCGAAGCCCCGGUAAACGGCGGCCGUAACUAUAACGGUCCUAAGGUAGCGAAAUUCCUUGUCGGGUAAGUUCCGACCUGCACGAAUGGCGUAAUGAUGGCCACGCUGUCUCCACCCGAGACUCAGUGAAAUUGAAAUCGCUGUGAAGAUGCAGUGUACCCGCGGCUAGACGGAAAGACCCCGUGAACCUUUACUACAGCUUGGCACUGAACAUUGAACCUACAUGUGUAGGAUAGGUGGGAGGCUAUGAAGACGUGACGC
RNAcentral lists this ribosomal RNA (2135 nucleotides) under Vibrio cholerae. RNAcentral describes it as "partial 23S ribosomal RNA". It matches the Rfam family "Bacterial large subunit ribosomal RNA", at positions 1 to 2171 of the family's 2925-position model. The record is from RNAcentral. Lineage: Bacteria; Pseudomonadati; Pseudomonadota; Gammaproteobacteria; Vibrionales; Vibrionaceae.